Molecule: ribosomal RNA, 157 nt
Filed under: uncultured bacterium
Lineage: Bacteria
Description: partial 16S ribosomal RNA
Rfam family: Bacterial small subunit ribosomal RNA
Source: RNAcentral
UGAGGAAUAUUGGUCAAUGGGCUAAGGCCUGAACCAGCCAAGUCGCGUGAGGGAAGACGGUCCUAUGGAUUGUAAACCUCUUUUGUCGGGGAGCAACGAGGCCACGUGUGGCCGAAGUGAGAGUACCCGAAGAAAAAGCAUCGGCUAACUCCGUGCC